Molecule: ribosomal RNA, 464 nt
Filed under: uncultured Klebsiella sp.
Lineage: Bacteria; Pseudomonadati; Pseudomonadota; Gammaproteobacteria; Enterobacterales; Enterobacteriaceae
Description: bacterial SSU rRNA
Rfam family: Bacterial small subunit ribosomal RNA
Source: RNAcentral
CCUACGGGGGGCUGCAGUGGGGAAUAUUGCACAAUGGGCGCAAGCCUGAUGCAGCCAUGCCGCGUGUGUGAAGAAGGCCUUCGGGUUGUAAAGCACUUUCAGCGGGGAGGAAGGCGGUGAGGUUAAUAACCUCAUCGAUUGACGUUACCCGCAGAAGAAGCACCGGCUAACUCCGUGCCAGCAGCCGCGGUAAUACGGAGGGUGCAAGCGUUAAUCGGAAUUACUGGGCGUAAAGCGCACGCAGGCGGUCUGUCAAGUCGGAUGUGAAAUCCCCGGGCUCAACCCGGGAACUGCAUUCGAAACUGGCAGGCUAGAGUCUUGUAGAGGGGGGUAGAAUUCCAGGUGUAGCGGUGAAAUGCGUAGAGAUCUGGAGGAAUACCGGGGGCGAAGGCGGCCCCCUGGACAAAGACGGACGCUCAGGUGCGAAAGCGUGGGGAGCAAACAGGAUUAGAUACCCCAUAGUC